UACAGAGGGUGCAAGCGUUGUUCGGAAUUAUUGGGCGUAAAGGGCGCGUAGGCGGCCAACUAAGUCGGACGUGAAAUCCCUCAGCUUAACUGGGGAACUGCGUCCGAUACUGGAUGGCUUGGAUUUGGGAGAGGGAUGCGGAAUUCCAGGUGUAGCGGUGAAAUGCGUAGAUAUCUGGAGGAACACCGGUGGCGAAGGCGGCAUCCUGGACCAACAUUGACGCUGAGGAGCGAAAGCUAGGGGAGCAAACGGG
This 253-nucleotide ribosomal RNA is filed under the name uncultured bacterium. RNAcentral describes it as "partial 16S ribosomal RNA". It matches the Rfam family "Bacterial small subunit ribosomal RNA", at positions 524 to 776 of the family's 1533-position model. The record is from RNAcentral.